UGAAUUAUAGGGCGUCUACUUGUAGAGCCUGACCUCCACUUCUAACACUGUGCACUUGAUGGCGAGGUAAUGGAACUUUCGAGUGAAACUACCUUGCGGCUUCAUUUUAAACAUUAGUCAAAGUAUGUCAUGAAAUAAAAAACAAAAAAAAACUUUCAACAACGGAUCUCUUGGCUCUCGCAUCGAUGAAGAACGCAGCGAAAUGUGAUAAGUAAUGUGAAUUGCAGAAUUCAGUGAAUCAUCGAAUCUUUGAACGCACCUUGCGCUCCCUGGUAUUCCGGGGAGCAUGCCUGUUUGAGUGUCAUGAACUCUUCAACCCACCAGUUUCUAGUAGACUGCGUUGGUGUUUGGAUUUUGAGCGUUGCUAGUCUGACUAGCUCGUUCGUAAUAUAUUAGCAUCUCUAAUUCGAAUUCGGAUUGACUCAGUGUAAUAGACUAUUCGCUGAGGACACUUUUAUUAGUGGCCGUACUAGAACCAGUAGAAGCUUCCAACUAUUGUAGUCAACUUUAAUUUAGACCUCAGAUCAGGCAGGAUUACCCGCUGAACU
Molecule: small RNA, 548 nt
Filed under: Rhodotorula sp. NHT-2
Lineage: Eukaryota; Fungi; Basidiomycota; Microbotryomycetes; Sporidiobolales; Sporidiobolaceae
Description: eukaryotic LSU rRNA
Rfam family: 5.8S ribosomal RNA (bases 151-304)
Source: RNAcentral